Molecule: long non-coding RNA, 1306 nt
Organism: Scylla paramamosain (green mud crab)
Lineage: Eukaryota; Metazoa; Arthropoda; Malacostraca; Decapoda; Portunidae
Exons: 2
Source: RefSeq, a predicted model, not a curated record
UUAGGUCGAGAUAGAAAAGCCGCCAAUAAGACUGUGAGGCGGGACAUUCUUUGGGAACUGAAUGUUUCAGGAUCGUUGGUUUGUGUUUGGUGUUUUGUUGUAUGAAGCAGCGUGACGCUUAUAACUAUAACGCGGUCACACAAUUCUUGCCAUCUAUGCCGGCCCUGGUUGCUCAUUGUGUGCUGUGAAGUCACGAUUUCUAUGAACCAACCCAUCAAACCCAUCAAACUUUGCGUGAAGCGGCAGCAGUGUUCAGUGAUCUGCACCUUGGUGAAGAACUAUUGUUUAGUCAGGCGUGACUCCCAGGCUUGCUCCUCCACGCGGUAGGAAACUCUAUUCCUUCCUUAUAAUGCAUUUCUGAGUCAUGCUACAAGUGUGCUGAUGUCAGGAAUGUAUAAGACGCUUUGGCUGAUGAUGAUAGAAGCAAGAAGCAGUAAAAAUGAGGUAUCCAACCAAUCACUUAGAGCCCAUCCCCCCUCCUGCUAUGCUGCUCACAGCCUCAGGUGGCUCGCAACAACAUACAACAUUCAUUGCAAGCAUUGUGACUAAAACCUUUGCCAUGCACCACCUAAGACUUUAGAACAUAAUUUUUGGAUAUGAGAAGUGCAAUGUGCUCACAAAAAAUGUGUGGAACAAAUGUAUACAUCAAAAAAGGAUUACAAAUGAGAGAAAAGACAAAAAUUACACUGAAGACAAUGAAGAAGAAGAGGAUGACAGAAAAAGAAUUGACAACCAAAAACUAUGCACUUGGAGAAUUUUGACUGAAUCUUGCUACAAUGUGGGGCAUGGCACAUCCUGACAGUCUCACCUUUGAGAGAUUAAUACCUUUAUAAGGGGAGAUGAGGUGCCAGCUCCUUUAUACAUUCAUUAAUGUGUGAUUGAUGCAAUAAAAUCCAUAUGAAGGCAGCAUUGACAGUAUAAGGUGUCUUCUAUUUAUAGCACUGAUCAGCUCUAGAUCAUUGACUUGGAUCUGGAUCUGAUAUGGAUUCACAUUGGAUAAAAAGAACACUUGUGGCCAUUAAUGAUCAAAACAAUCAAUAACAACACAUCAAUAACAACACAAGCAUGUCGCUGCCCAGCUGUCACAAGCGGCAGACUGUUGAUGCUCACCACUGUGCUCUAAGGAGCACUUUCUGAGGAAGUUGGGCCAAGAAGGUCACCAAUGAGUCACAGGCAGCAUGAGACUGGAUUCUGUGGCCAUAAGGACAUAAGGUGAGGUUAACAUUGUAUUAUAAAGUUCCACACAAAGCUCUCUUCAUACAGCAUGCUGAAUGUACUCCCUGUGGUGAAUAACAAAAUGGUAAAA